GAUGAACGCUGGCGGCGUGCCUAAUACAUGCAAGUCGAGCGAACAGACGAGGAGCUUGCUCCUCUGGCGUUAGCGGCGGACGGGUGAGUAACACGUGGAUAACCUACCUAUAAGACUGGGAUAACUUCGGGAAACCGGAGCUAAUACCGGAUAAUAUAUUGAACCGCAUGGUUCAAUAGUGAAAGACGGUUUUGCUGUCACUUAUAGAUGGAUCCGCGCCGCAUUAGCUAGUUGGUAAGGUAACAGCUUACCAAGGCAACGAUGCGUAGCCGACCUGAGAGGGUGAUCGGCCACACUGGAACUGAGACACGGUCCAGACUCCUACGGGAGGCAGCAGUAGGGAAUCUUCCGCAAUGGGCGAAAGCCUGACGGAGCAACGCCGCGUGAGUGAUGAAGGUCUUCGGAUCGUAAAACUCUGUUAUUAGGGAAGAACAAAUGUGUAAGUAACUAUGCACGUCUUGACGGUACCUAAUCAGAAAGCCACGGCUAACUACGUG
This 497-nucleotide ribosomal RNA is filed under the name uncultured bacterium. Its description in RNAcentral is "partial 16S ribosomal RNA". It matches the Rfam family "Bacterial small subunit ribosomal RNA", at positions 28 to 507 of the family's 1533-position model. The record is from RNAcentral.